This 506-nucleotide ribosomal RNA is filed under the name uncultured bacterium. Its description in RNAcentral is "bacterial SSU rRNA". It matches the Rfam family "Bacterial small subunit ribosomal RNA", at positions 28 to 514 of the family's 1533-position model. The record is from RNAcentral.
AAUCAACGCUGGCGGCGUGCCUAACACAUGCAAGUCGAACGCGAAAGGGGCUUCGGCCCCGAUUGAGUGGCGAACGGGUGAGUAACGCGUGGGUGACCUACCUCCGAGCGGGGGAUAACGUUCCGAAAGGGACGCUAAUACCGCAUCACAUCCUGCCUUUAGAGAGGCGGCGAUCAAAGCUGGGGACCGUAAGGCCCGGCGCUUGGAGAGGGGCCCGCGUCCGAUUAGCUAGUUGGUGAGGUGACGGCUCACCAAGGCGACGAUCGGUAGCCGGCCUAAGAGGGCGGACGGCCACACUGGGACUGAGACACGGCCCAGACUCCUACGGGAGGCAGCAGUGGGGAAUUGUUCGCAAUGGGCGAAAGCCUGACGACGCAACGCCGCGUGGAGGACGAAGAUCUUCGGGUCGUAAACUCUGUCGAGUGGGACGAACACCUUUUCGGCUGAAUAAUCCGAGAGGCUGACGGUACCGCUAAAGGAAGCCCCGGCUAACUCCGUGCCAGCCG